Molecule: long non-coding RNA, 736 nt
Organism: Haemorhous mexicanus (house finch)
Lineage: Eukaryota; Metazoa; Chordata; Aves; Passeriformes; Fringillidae
Exons: 2
Source: RefSeq, a predicted model, not a curated record
CCGCCGCCGACAGCAGCUCGGGGGCGGCUGCCGCCUGCGGGGGCGAAGCGCUCGGCUCUCCUUCCCGCCCCGCUGCCCCGAGCGCGACUCGGCUGAGGAGGUGAUGGCUCUGUGCCGGGCAGGACGAUGUCGAAAGUUCGCGGACAGCGCGGGGGAAAGAGAAGAAGGAGCCAAAAAAAAAAAAAAAAAUCUGAGCCAGGCGUUUCGGUAACUUUGCCGUGGGCCGGCCCCGGCCAGAGCCGCAGGCGCUGAAGUUGUGGCCGGCGCUGGUCCCUGCCCCGCCGCGACGGGGCCCCGCGGGAACGGUCGCGCCCCCGCCCCGCCGCUCUGGCGCUGCUCCGAGCACCGGGACAGGAAAGGGGAAGAGCAGGAGAGGGGAGAGCGCCGGCUUUCCAUAAGCGCUUCGGUUUGUUUGUACAGGCGGUCUGGAGCCUGUCGGAAGAACUAGUUGGAGGCCACCGCUCAGCCUUCCGAGGGAACCGCAAGCGUGAGAGCCCUGCCCGCACGGCGAGCGGCUGAUACCGAGAGGAAAUUGAGAUCCCUCGGUAAGAGCCACCCUUCGCCCCUCCGGAACGUUUCGGGAAGGGAUCUCUGGAGAGCGCCCAGCCCGGCCCCCGGUUCGAGAGACGGGCGCCCCUCUUAGUCCUGCGGGUGAAGGAUAACGUCAGGAAUUAGCAGGGUUAGAGAGGGAGUGAUGGAAAUAAAAUCACAUUAAAAUGGCAAUUAUCUCUCAUCA